GCGUCGGUGGUGCAACGGAUUAGCCCAUGCUUCCUGAAAGAGUGAGAUCUGGGUUCGAAUCCCGGUUAACGCA
Parelaphostrongylus tenuis is the source of this 73-nucleotide non-coding RNA. The record is from the annotation of a GenBank genome assembly. Lineage: Eukaryota; Metazoa; Nematoda; Chromadorea; Rhabditida; Metastrongylidae.